Molecule: ribosomal RNA, 445 nt
Filed under: uncultured bacterium
Lineage: Bacteria
Description: bacterial SSU rRNA
Rfam family: Bacterial small subunit ribosomal RNA
Source: RNAcentral
UCCAGACUCCUACGGGAGGCAGCAGUGGGGAAUAUUGCACAAUGGGGGGAACCCUGAUGCAGCGACGCCGCGUGAGUGAAGAAGUAUUUCGGUAUGUAAAGCUCUCUCAGCAGGGAAGAAGAUGACGGUACCUGGGGAGGAAGCUCCGGCUAACUACGUGCCAGCAGCCGCGGUAAUACGUAGGGAGCGAGCGUUGUCCGGAAUUACUGGGUGUAAAGGGAGCGUAGGCGGGGAUGCAAGUUGGGUGUCAAAACUACCGGCUCAACUGGUAGUCGCACUCAAAACUGCAGCUCUUGAGUGAAGUAGAGGCAGGCGGAAUUCCUAGUGUAGCGGUGAAAUGCGUAGAUAUUAGGAGGAACACCAGUGGCGAAGGCGGCCUGCUGGGCUUUUACUGACGCUGAGGCUCGAAAGUGUGGGGAGCAAACAGGAUUAGAUACCCUAGUAA